This 236-nucleotide ribosomal RNA is filed under the name uncultured bacterium. RNAcentral's name for it is "partial 16S ribosomal RNA". It matches the Rfam family "Bacterial small subunit ribosomal RNA", at positions 116 to 354 of the family's 1533-position model. The record is from RNAcentral.
UACGGUACNCGUCGUAUACAGGGGGAUAACACUUAGAAAUAGGUGCUAAUACCGCAUAAGCGCACAGAGCCGCAUGGCUCAGUGUGAAAAACUCCGGUGGUGUAAGAUGGAUCCGCGUCUGAUUAGCUAGUUGGCGGGGUAGAAGCCCACCAAGGCGACGAUCAGUAGCCGGCCUGAGAGGGUGAACGGCCACAUUGGGACUGAGACACGGCCCAAACUCCUACGGAAGGCAGCAG